RNAcentral lists this ribosomal RNA (405 nucleotides) under uncultured bacterium. RNAcentral describes it as "partial 16S ribosomal RNA". It matches the Rfam family "Bacterial small subunit ribosomal RNA", at positions 28 to 526 of the family's 1533-position model. The record is from RNAcentral.
GAUGAACGCUGGCGGCGUGCCUAAUACAUGCAAGUCGAGCGAAUCGUGGACGCGUGAGUAAAACGUGGAUACCCUCCUAUAUCACUGGGAUAACUUCGGGAAAACCGACUUCAACCCGACACUUAUAGUUUGUUCCGCGCUGCAUUAGCUAGUUGGUAAGGUAACGGCUUACAAAGGCAACGAUGCAUAGCAGACCUGUGAGGGGGAUCGCCCACACGGGAACGGAGCCACGGUCCAGACGCCUACGGGAGGCAGCAGUAGGGAAUCUUCCGCAAGGGGCGAAGGCCUGACGGAGCAACGCCGCGUGAGUGAUGAAGGUCUUCGGAUCGUAAAACUCUGUUAUUAGGGAAGCGGUACCUAAUCAGAAAGCCACGGCUAACUACGUGCCAGCAGCCGCGGUAAUAC